AUUGAACGCUGGCGGAAUGCUUUACACAUGCAAGUCGAACGGCAGCACGGACUUCGGUCUGGUGGCGAGUGGCGAACGGGUGAGUAAUGUAUCGGAACGUGCCCAGUCGUGGGGGAUAACGUAGUGAAAAUUACGCUAAUACCGCAUACGAUCUAUGGAUGAAAGCGGGGGAUCGCAAGACCUCGCGCGAUUGGAGCGGCCGAUAUCAGAUUAGGUAGUUGGUGGGGGAAAGGCCCACCAAGCAAACGAUCUGUAGCUGGUCUGAGAGGACGACCAGCCAAACUGGAACUGAGACACGGUACAGACUCCUACGGGAGGCAGCAGUGGGGAAUUUUGGGCAAUGGGCGAAAGCCUGAUCCAGCCAUUCCGCGUGCAGGAUGAAGGCCCUCGGGUUGUAAACUGCUUUUGUACAGAACGAAAAGGUUUCUACUAAUACUAGGAGCUCAUGACGGUACUGUAAGAAUAAGCACCGGCUAACUACGUGCCAGCAGCCGCCGUAA
This 500-nucleotide ribosomal RNA is filed under the name uncultured bacterium. Its description in RNAcentral is "partial 16S ribosomal RNA". It matches the Rfam family "Bacterial small subunit ribosomal RNA", at positions 30 to 523 of the family's 1533-position model. The record is from RNAcentral.